Molecule: ribosomal RNA, 752 nt
Filed under: uncultured Glomeromycotina
Lineage: Eukaryota; Fungi; Glomeromycota
Description: bacterial SSU rRNA
Rfam family: Eukaryotic small subunit ribosomal RNA
Source: RNAcentral
GGCCUACCAUGGUGGUAACGGGUGACGGAGGAUUAGGGUUCGAUUCCGGAGAGGGAGCCUGAGAGAUGGCCACCACUUCCAAGGAAGGCAGCAGGCGCGCAAAUUACCCAAUCCCGAUUUGGGGAGGUAGUGACAAGAAAUACCAGUACAGGACCUUACGGGUACUGUGUUUGGAAUGAGUACAAUUUAAAAACCUUAACGAGGAACGAUUGGAGGGCAAGUCUGGUGCCAGCAGCCGCGGUAAUUCCAGCUCCAAUAGCGUAUAUUAAAGUUGUUGCAGUUAAAAAGCUCGUAGUUGAAUUUCGGGGUUAGUAGGCUGGUCAUGCCACCGGUAUGUACUGGUCUUACUGAUUCCUCCUUCCUGAUGAACUGUAAUGCCAUUAAUUUGGUGUUGCAGGGAAUCUGGACUGUUACUUUGAAAAAAUUAGAGUGUUUAAAGCAGGCUAACGCUUGAAUACAUUAGCAUGGAAUAAUGAAAUAGGACGUUCGAUCCUAUUUUGUUGGUUUCUAGGAUCACCGUAAUGAUUAAUAGGGAUAGUUGGGGGCAUUAGUAUUCAAUUGUCAGAGGUGAAAUUCUUGGAUUUAUUGAAGACUAACUACUGCGAAAGCAUUUGCCAAGGAUGUUUUCAUUAAUCAAGAACGAAAGUUAGGGGAUCGAAGACGAUCAGAUACCGUCGUAGUCUUAACCAUAAACUAUGCCGACUAGGAAUCAGACGAUGUUAAUUUUUUAAUGACUCGUUUGGCACCUUACG